RNAcentral lists this long non-coding RNA (547 nucleotides) under Rattus norvegicus (Norway rat). RNAcentral's name for it is "long non-coding RNA NONRATT020362". Lineage: Eukaryota; Metazoa; Chordata; Mammalia; Rodentia; Muridae. The record is from RNAcentral.
ACUUUGGGCAACGUGGUUGGAAUGUAUCUGGCCCAGAACUACGACAUAAACGAUAAUAUUCCUUUCUUCUUUUUAAAGAUGCCAAACCUGGCUAAAAAACUUGAAGAGAUUAAAAAGGACCUGGAAGCCAAGAAGAAGCCCCCUAGUUCCUGAUGCCCACCUGGCACUGUAUUCUGGACCCACCAAUUCCGUCCCGGGGCCUGCCUUCUUCACAGCCACAUCCAAAGCUGUGUUCCUCUUUGGUCUCAGAGCCUGCGAGUUGCCUCAGAUCUAACACCGGCCCGAAGUCGAGUUAGCUCUUCGUUUCCAGCAUCUCCCCUCCCCCCGUAUCUUCUGUCCAGCAGCUUCUGAGUCCUAAGGCUGGAACUAAGGUGCUAGGUCAGCAAACACAACCGUAACUGGUAUUCACCUGUGCUCUGAGAGACCCCCGUGGUCAAGGAAUGACUGGCUUUGGAUAGCCGCUGCAUUCACUGUCUAGCAGUGACAGUAGGAGCUUGCUACACAAACCAAAUUUUGUUAAAGUAAUUAAAAUCAGUAUCUUCAAGCC